UAAUAAUAAUAAUCUUCUAUCAAUAAUAAUAAUAAUCUUCUACCUUAUGUAUAGGAGAAUUGCAAGAGCUACAUGUCUGCGCAAAAAAAAAAAAACAAUAGAAAUAAUUCUUACAUUAGAAAAAGAGAAAAUAUUGAAACUAAAGAAAAAUAAAAAAGGUUUUACAUUUAAAAAAAAAUAGAGGGAAGAUUGAAAUUAAUAAAAAGAAAAAAA
Molecule: long non-coding RNA, 213 nt
Filed under: Solanum tuberosum (potato)
Lineage: Eukaryota; Viridiplantae; Streptophyta; Magnoliopsida; Solanales; Solanaceae
Description: long non-coding RNA (STUB_LNC000231)
Source: RNAcentral